RNAcentral lists this ribosomal RNA (252 nucleotides) under uncultured bacterium. RNAcentral describes it as "partial 16S ribosomal RNA". It matches the Rfam family "Bacterial small subunit ribosomal RNA", at positions 524 to 776 of the family's 1533-position model. The record is from RNAcentral.
UACGGGGGGGCAAGCGUUGUUCGGAAUUACUGGGCGUAAAGGGCUCGUAGGUGGCUAACUAAGUCAGACGUGAAAUCCCUCGGCUUAACCGGGGAACUGCAUCUGAUACUGGAUGGCUUGAGAUUGGGAGAGGGAUGCGGAAUUCCAGGUGUAGCGGUGAAAUGCGUAGAUAUCUGGAGGAACACCGGUGGCGAAGGCGGCAUCCUGGACCAACACUGACGCUGAGGAGCGAAAGCCAGGGGAGCAAACGGG